RNAcentral lists this long non-coding RNA (690 nucleotides) under Equus asinus (donkey). RNAcentral's name for it is "lncRNA (ENSEASG00005031296.1)". Lineage: Eukaryota; Metazoa; Chordata; Mammalia; Perissodactyla; Equidae. The record is from RNAcentral.
GAGGAGGUGACGCAAGUCACAGACUUGCCUCUUUCUAGAACAGGUCCCUCUGGUUGUGGUAUGUGGGAUGCCGCCUCAACAUGGCCUGAUGAGCAGUGCCACGUCUGCGUGCCCAGGAUCCGAACCUGCGAAACCCUCGGCUGCUGAAGUGGAGCGCGUGAACUUAACCACUCAGCCACGGGGCUGGCUCCUAGGACAUCUCAUAUUGGACUAGCCCUAUUUCCAGCACUCAGUGGACACACAUAGCUGGACAGUGCAGUAUUGUGCUGGGUGUCAAGGAGAGAACAGGGAACAGGAUGGGCAAGGUGUCUGCCUUCACUGAGUUGACAGUCUGGUGUGGGAAACAUGUAAUAAAGAGACAGCAGUUUAUUCCCCGAAGGAUGUCACCAUCUCGGGAGAACAUAUUCCAAUUAUCCUGGAAAACAAGCUAAAGCAAAGUAUGAAUCCACCUGAGUGGCGCUCAAGGUCCCAGGGAUUCUGUCCUUCUCCAGGCAGCACACAGGAGGGCAGCCUGCAGCAUCAAAGGGCACGAGCUUGGCUCAGAUCCAUGAUUUCAGUUUGGGGCAUAAAUAGGACAUUUAAUGGGAAAAAAACCCCAGACAUCUGAGAGCUUGCAUAGAGGCAUUCUAACAAACAAGAAAGCAUCUACCAGCUACCUGGCGUCUGUGUGUGAAGCAGACUGUAAUGAAG